AUAAAUGCACGAAAACAAACAUACUAAGUCGCAUAAAUAUACUCCUAUCAAAUUCCCCCACACUUAGCUUUUGCUAGUCCUCGAGCAAAACAAAGAAACAAAGAAACAAAACAAAACCUAAACCUUCCAACAUUUACCUUAGGGAUUUUCAAUGCAACAUGACAUGCAAAAGAUCAUCAUAACCACAUAUUUUGGCCUUCCCUACCCUUGAGCACAUACUUAAUCAUAGUCACCACAUACUAGUUCACAUAUAACCAAUUAAAACGAUGUUUUGAAUGUAGUAACAUGCCUUAGAGAAUUUGCUCAAUUCCUUACAAGAUACACUCUUAUUUUCACUCUGAU
This 342-nucleotide long non-coding RNA is filed under the name Malus domestica (apple). RNAcentral's name for it is "long non-coding RNA (MDOM_LNC009474)". Lineage: Eukaryota; Viridiplantae; Streptophyta; Magnoliopsida; Rosales; Rosaceae. The record is from RNAcentral.